AUUAUUACAUUUGUAUUCAUACACUGUCAUGUCAUUUGACCAGUUAAUUAAAUAAUAAUACAGACUGCAAAUAAAACUUAAUACACAGUUGUGUUAACUCGCGCAAACUAUUGCUAUUGUUAUUGGUUGUUUCGCCGUUUUACUUUGAGCAUGAUUGGUUAAUCUGUCUGUUUUACAGGAAACUGUCCAAUGAGAAUGUGCGCGGCUCUGCGCGCCUAUUUUAAAUUUGAAAAUAUGUCCGUUACUCUCGGUCGGAGCACUAGCAGAUGCUUUGCGUUGAUUACUCGGUCAGACCUGGAUUAUUUUAUAUCUGCCUGUUGAAUUCUUACAUUUUGAGCGAAUUUUAGUUGAUAUGACAAUGAAGAUCAAAAGCUGGAAUGUGAACAGAGGAAGGGGUCGUACGUGGUCUGUAAAUAGUGGCGAUAUCAGAUCAAGCUUUGUAAUAAGAUUUUUAUCGGGGGAGAACACCCAACAGAAAGACCCAUGAUUCACCAACUGGCGCACUGAAAGGGGAGAUUCAUGUCACUUUCAUCAGUCCUUUCUUUAAUCACUGGACACCAUUAAGGGAAAGACCCUCAGACGUGUCAUAAUAGGAUAAAUGCGGCUGCAGGUAAAAUUAUUUGAUGGGGUUAGGGUUAUUUGAUUUUGGUGUACCAAUUGGCUUUUUUUUGUGUGCUUCCCUUGCUAUGAUACACAUUUCUGAUGGGAUUGCCAUGCUUUAAGUGUAUGUUUACAUUUUUAAUCAUGUAAUAACUAACAGUCUCAAAGAUGACAUUACUCAGUUCAUGUUGUGUGAAUGUAAUAAUGGCAAACGUUUUUACAAUUUAAAUCAAUUUCAUAUAAAUAAUAUAUAUAUUUAUAUGUUUCCUCACAAUGUCAAAAGUGCUUGUUAAGUGCGGCAGCUUUU
Cyprinus carpio (common carp) is the source of this 907-nucleotide long non-coding RNA. RefSeq lists it as uncharacterized. The transcript has 3 exons. The record is from RefSeq and is a predicted model, not a curated record. Lineage: Eukaryota; Metazoa; Chordata; Actinopteri; Cypriniformes; Cyprinidae.